GCCUGGGUAGCUCAGUCAGUUGAGCAACCAACUUCAGCUCAGAUCAUGAUCUCAUGGUUUGUGAGUUCGAGCCCCGCCUCAGGCU
RNAcentral lists this transfer RNA (85 nucleotides) under Felis catus (domestic cat). It matches the Rfam family "tRNA". From Rfam's summary of the family: Transfer RNA (tRNA) molecules are approximately 80 nucleotides in length. Their secondary structure includes four short double-helical elements and three loops (D, anti-codon, and T loops). The record is from Rfam by way of RNAcentral. RNAcentral also lists the same sequence under 2 other names. Lineage: Eukaryota; Metazoa; Chordata; Mammalia; Carnivora; Felidae.